UACGAAGGGGGCUAGCGUUGUUCGGAAUUACUGGGCGUAAAGGGCGCGUAGGCGGCGUGUCAAGUCAGAUGUGAAAUUCCCGGGCUUAACCUGGGGGCUGCAUUUGAUACGUGUUGUCUAGAGUGAGGAAGAGGGUUGUGGAAUUCCCAGUGUAGAGGUGAAAUUCGUAGAUAUUGGGAAGAACACCGGUGGCGAAGGCGGCAACCUGGUCCUUGACUGACGCUGAGGCGCGAAAGCGUGGGGAGCAAACAGG
This 253-nucleotide ribosomal RNA is filed under the name uncultured bacterium. RNAcentral describes it as "partial 16S ribosomal RNA". It matches the Rfam family "Bacterial small subunit ribosomal RNA", at positions 524 to 776 of the family's 1533-position model. The record is from RNAcentral.